UCCAUCGGGGAUCGAUUCCUAGACUCGAGAUCGAGCACUGCCAAGCGCCACCCCUGUCGGCGUCGCGCAUCCCCUGCCGCCGCCCGCCACGGCCAGCAAGAGCAGCGCCGCCCCAUGGAGGAGACGUUCCGCUAGGAGGCCGCGCGGCUAGGGGGGCCGUGUGGGGAGGUGUCGGCCCGGCUGCUGGUCGGCCGCCGCGGGCGCCGGCGAGCUCGGGUCCCGGCUGCCGCAGGCGCGGGCGCGGGGGACCUUACUGGAAGUCUGGAUGAUACAGGCGUAUGCUAGUAAAGUCAACCAACACCUUACUGGGUUGAAUGGCAAGGAAUGAGCUACCUUACCACCUUUUUAACUCCUGAAGGAUCUGAGAAGUAGCAUCGCAGGAAAUCGCAAGCCCUUUUGGAUUAUGUACAAAUAUGCCAUGACUUUAGCAGGCUAAUGAUUCUGCUUCAUAGAAGCAGUACUAAUGUAGUAAGUUCACGGCUCUUUGACUGGUGAAGAAUCAGAGCGUAGGCUGUAGCAGGCUAUCAGACAGAUUAUGACUUACGACUAGAACAUAUAUCUGUAUGACUAUGUUAGAACUCUGAUGAACCGGUUAUCUGAACCUCUUUAUCUUUAGUGUGUUCUGUCUGAUGUCUGAUAGCACUUGGCGGUGCUGGUGCACCAUUGUUUUC
Molecule: long non-coding RNA, 671 nt
Organism: Panicum virgatum (switchgrass)
Lineage: Eukaryota; Viridiplantae; Streptophyta; Magnoliopsida; Poales; Poaceae
Exons: 2
Source: RefSeq, a predicted model, not a curated record